ACGCCUGUAGCUCAGCUGGAUAGAGCAUCGGAUUUCUAAUCCGACGGUCGGGGGUUCAAAUCCCUCCAGGCGUG
This 74-nucleotide transfer RNA is filed under the name bacterium. RNAcentral's name for it is "tRNA-Arg". It matches the Rfam family "tRNA". Rfam says of the family: Transfer RNA (tRNA) molecules are approximately 80 nucleotides in length. The record is from RNAcentral.